Ctenopharyngodon idella (grass carp) is the source of this 1297-nucleotide long non-coding RNA. RefSeq lists it as uncharacterized. NCBI's taxonomy places the organism in Eukaryota, Metazoa, Chordata, Actinopteri, Cypriniformes, Xenocyprididae. The transcript is spliced from 2 exons. The record is from RefSeq and is a predicted model, not a curated record.
AACCUGGGUGGUUGCUAGGGUGUUGCUAGGCAGUUGGUAAGGUACUUGGGGCAGUUGCUAAGGUGUUGCUAGGCGGUUGCUAGGGUGUUAUGGGUGGUUGCUAGGCAGUUGCUAUGGUACUUGGGGUGGUUGCUAAGGUGUUGCUAGGCGGUUGCUAAGGUGUUCUGGGUGGUUGCUAGGCGGUUGCUAUGGUAACCUGGGUGGUUGCUAGGGUGUUGCUAGGCAGUUGGUAAGGUACUUGGGGCAGUUGCUAAGGUGUUGCUAGGCGGUUGCUAGGGUGUUAUGGGUGGUUGCUAGGCAGUUGCUAUGGUAACCUGGGUGGUUGCUAUGAUGUUACUAGGUGGUUGGUAGUUGUCACAGAUGGUUACUAUGGUGUUUUUAUAGAGUUCUUAGCAUGUUCUUAGACACUUUAGCACUUAGCUAAUCACUAUUAGCAUGUAGCUAUUCACUGCUAGCAUGUGUAGCAUGUUGGAAGUCCAGUUUGCUAGCAUGAGUCAAAAGAGCCAACCGCCAUGUCUCUACGAUGUUCUGAUGCAGAGAUAUAGGUCUUGCAAAACGGUUGCUAGGGUACUCUAUUUGGUUGCUAGGGAGUGGCUUGGCAGCUACCAAUGAUGAUACUCCAAAGGCUGCUUGCCAGUAUGAAUGAUAUAAAUCAACCCCCAUGCCUCUAUGAUAUUCAGAUUUGAAGAUAUCCCUCUAUGCUUUGGGUUGCUAGGGUGCUCUAAAUGGUUGCUAGGGCGUGGCUAUGAAGUCUUAAAGGUGAUUCGUGAUUGGCCGUUUGCUCUCCCGAGUCAAAUGAGCCCACCUUCAUGUUCCUAUGACACUUCUAUCCAAAGGACUAUCUUUGAUCUUUUUGAAUGGAAGUCUAUGGAACCUGUUGCUAUGGUGCUCUAUAUGGUUGCUAGGGCGUGGCUUAAUAGCUUCACAUUGAUCCUGAGAGACUGAUUGGUUGCCUGAGUGAAAUGAGCCCGCCCCCUUGUCUCUAUGACACUGUGAUCAAUAGUGAGAGAUGUGAGUGAGUGAGAGAAAGGGUUCUAAGGCCCUGCGUGUGUGUGCGUGUGUGAGAAAGUGACAGUUGAGAUUCAAAUUUCUGAACAUUCCGCCAUUGAAAGUCAAUGGGACUUUUUUGGCCGCUUUUUCGCCCCCUGUGCGAACAUCGUUGGGCCGAUCGCUUAUAAAAGUCAUAGCACACCUCUCCUCAAUGAGCCGGUCGAUUUGACACCUCAUUCAUGGGUCUAGGACAAAAACUGCGGGACAAGUUACGCGCCGAAGUUUUUGUCCAGAAGAAGAAGAAUAA